GAGCCAUGUGAUAAGCACAAAGCGAACUAUUCUUUCGCCUUUUACUAAAGAAUGCCGUGUGCUCGUCACUUAAUGUGGCAUACCUUUAUUUUUUGAGGGGCUCCUCUUAGUGAGGGCUC
Non-coding RNA from Lupinus albus (white lupine), 119 nucleotides. Lineage: Eukaryota; Viridiplantae; Streptophyta; Magnoliopsida; Fabales; Fabaceae. The record is from the annotation of a GenBank genome assembly.